GCUAUUUUCAAUUCUCAAUCUGCAAGAUGAAUUAUUUCUUCUUCUUUCUUCAACCAAAGCAGCCCUAGCUGACAUUAUAUUAUUAUUAUUAUUCAAUUUUGAAUCAAAUGCACUACAAUCAAUCCAAUCUUUGAGUAAUUCUUCUUGUCCCCAAAUUUCUGGUAUCCAUACAUGUCCUGCCACUUCAAUUCUAUGUCUCUUCAAUCUUUCACGUCCACUAUCAUCUGUCCUCAUCGGUCCGCCCUCGUUAUGCGCGCCAACAUGUCCCACGUGCACGUUGAUCAUGUCUGACGUAGUUUCUGUAUUGUUGAAUUUUUCUUGAUCACGUUUAAUCGUGACGUUAUUUUUCUUGACUAGUAAAUUAUUAGGCCUUGUUGAUUCGGCCUUGUCAUUGUUAGGGUCGGGGCGUCUUGAGGGAUGUAUAGAAAAAAAUGAUGGAUUUUCACGUUCGUUCGUCAUAAUGAACGUGUCGUUGAAUUUGUUAUUGUUGAUAUUGAAUGAAUUUGAAGCAAAUUGUAGAAGGAAGAUUUUUUUUUGUGUGUGGUUUGGCUAGUCUCCACAAACUAUAGUAUUGGAGCUAGCCAAGAGGGAGUGUUGUUGAAGGGAGAAAUGAUGGUUUUAUUUUGGUGUCU
RNAcentral lists this unclassified non-coding RNA (632 nucleotides) under Hevea brasiliensis (rubber tree). The record is from RNAcentral. Lineage: Eukaryota; Viridiplantae; Streptophyta; Magnoliopsida; Malpighiales; Euphorbiaceae.